This 495-nucleotide ribosomal RNA is filed under the name uncultured bacterium. Its description in RNAcentral is "partial 16S ribosomal RNA". It matches the Rfam family "Bacterial small subunit ribosomal RNA", at positions 28 to 507 of the family's 1533-position model. The record is from RNAcentral.
GAUGAACGCUGGCGGCGUGCCUAAUACAUGCAAGUAGAACGCUGAAGGAGGAGCUUGCUCUUCUGGAUGAGUUGCGAACGGGUGAGUAACGCGUAGGUAACCUGCCUGGUAGCGGGGGAUAACUAUUGGAAACGAUAGAUAAUACCGCAUGACAACAGUUAUUGCAUGAUAACUGUUUAAAAGGGGCAACUGCUCUACUACCAGAUGGACUUGCGUUGUAUUAGCUAGUUGGUGUGGUAACGGCUCACCAAGGCGACGAUACAUAGCCGACCUGAGAGGGUGAUCGGACACGCUGGGACGGGGACACGGCCCAGACUCCUCCGGGAGGCGGCAGUAGGGAAUCGUCGGCAAGGGACGGAAGUCUAACCGGGCAACGCCACGUGGGUGAAGAAAGUUUUCGGAUCGUAAAGCACUGUUGUAAGGGAAGAACGGAUGGGAAGGUAGAAAGUUCACAAGGUGACGUUAUCUUACCAGAAAGGGACGGCUAACUACGUG